Molecule: unclassified non-coding RNA, 263 nt
Filed under: plant metagenome
Description: partial contains small subunit ribosomal RNA, internal transcribed spacer 1, and 5.8S ribosomal RNA
Source: RNAcentral
GUUCCGUAGGUGAACCUGCGGAAGGAUCAUUAUUGUAUAACCGAGGUGCGAGGGCUGUCGCUGACCCGAAAGGUCGUGCACGCCCGAGUGCCCUCACACACAUCCAUCUCACCCCUAUGUGCACCACCGCGUGGGUCCCCCUUUGGCUUGUUCGGAGGUGGGCUUACGUUUUCACACAAACUUUGUAUGCAGUGUAGAAUGUAUUUUUUGUUUUUGCGAUCACGCAAUCAAUACAACUUUCAACAACGGAUCUCUUGGCUCUC